Long non-coding RNA from Sinocyclocheilus rhinocerous, 113 nucleotides. RefSeq lists it as uncharacterized. Lineage: Eukaryota; Metazoa; Chordata; Actinopteri; Cypriniformes; Cyprinidae. The record is from RefSeq and is a predicted model, not a curated record. The transcript has 3 exons.
CAAAACAAGCGCCAACUUUUGGAGACAGCUGUUGACAAUGAAUAGGCAGGGAAAAUGCAUGUGAAAAAACCUCCUACAUGUUUCUGCGGAAAGAACUGGCAGUGAGGUUGGCC